AGCUGAACAAGGCAAAACGAAAAAGAAUACAGCGUCUCUUUGUUUCAAUAUCCUAAAGAAGUAACCGACGCGGAACAACGAACUUCCCAUCUACUUUUCCAGUGCCAAGAUUAGAGAGAUAAUUUUCAACCUUCAGAGCUCCCCAUGACCUUGCUGAUAGAAGAGAUGAAAGAACUUUUAUAUAACAGACGAUGCUAGGAAAUAAAAUCAUUUCAUUAAGUUCCUCAUAAUUUUGACAACCUGAUCUUGAAAACAAAAUUUCCAAUCUAAGAUAGAUAACUAACACGGUAAUAAACAUUCUGGAAAAAUUCCGCCACUCUGAAGGCAGAGGCAACUUUUCGAAACUGCAAAACUAUU
Long non-coding RNA from Rhodamnia argentea, 357 nucleotides. RefSeq lists it as uncharacterized. The transcript has 2 exons. NCBI's taxonomy places the organism in Eukaryota, Viridiplantae, Streptophyta, Magnoliopsida, Myrtales, Myrtaceae. The record is from RefSeq and is a predicted model, not a curated record.